AUGGCGACCCAAAAAAAGGCCUUUUUCCACCACCUGGUAUUUUUAAUCCACCUUGCCUCGACUGCGUGCGAACAAUUGGCUCAUCACAAUACAUGCAAUUGGAAGUGGCGGACGUGAAAAAUCUCAUCUAGCGACACAACCCCCAAGAGAUUGGAAAAUCAACUAAGUGCUGAAAUUGGCAAAGUUGCAUCAUCAUUAACCUUAUCAGAAGAGGAUCUGUUCCGAAUCUGAAGAUCAAGCAAUAAAGACAAACAGUUCAAACAGCAUUUCCUUCCGUGCGGCCCAAAUCGUGGUACCAUCAUUCACCUCGGCCAAGAAGAAUCGGUGAAAACAAUUAUGGGGUGCCGCUCUUCGGACAAAACAUCCCCAAUGCAGGCGUCGGAUGCACCGACAACUCCUCCCCCAGGACCAGCAGCUGUUCCGGUAAUGCCGAACGCCCCGGGUGACGCUUCCAGAGGGCCGACGUCAGCCAUGCAGACUCCUACAGGUACAGCUGCCACAACCCCGCUUGUGUCAGCAUUGCAGCAGGCGGCUCAAAAAGAUGCUGCUAUAGAGCAACAGGCCUCAAGCGAGUCAUCACAAGAACAGACUCCUCAACGAUCUGCUCAGAGUGCACCAGGAAUGCAGCAGGCGGCUCGAGCAGAUGAUGCUCCGGUACUUUUUUUCUUUGACUUAAUAUCAGUAUUGCUUCUCUAUUAUUUAGCAAAGCAGAGCCUCUUGUACGGCGGUUCGCUGAAGAUCAAUUUCUCGAAUGGAAUAUGUACCCGACAUCACCAUGACCAUGGAUGAGCAGAUUGUGAAACAUCGUCUGGAGAAUAGAUGGCAGCAUAAAUGGCUUUUAUUAUUUAACUAAUAAAGACUGGCUAAAUCCUCUGUCGCUAGCGUCCCUAGGCUGGCAUCGGAUGGAUCGAGCUUUUGGUAUACAAAGUUGAUGAAUUGGCUGCCAUCAGCACGACACCGUAUGCGCUACAGAGGAAAGGUGAAAACAUACUUUCCAUGAAAACAAAGAAAGUUGUCUCCGGCUGGUCCUAGUUUCUACAAGAUGACUGCGAGAACCAGGUUAUGCCAGGUGUAAUGCAAUGUGGUGAAAUUGGCCAACAUUGCCCGAUAAAAUCUGGCUGCAUUCUUCUUCAUCGACCACCCCGCAACGUCGGCAAUACUACUUUGGAACUGUAACGUUAGUACCAGCUACCAAACAUACCCUGUAAUUCAACAAGAAGAGCUUACGCAGGAUUUGCUAUCCAAGCUAAUCGAAGUCUCAUCUAAGCUGGAGUCCCAGCCGAAACCAAGAAGACUGUUACUACUAUUUAUGUGAUAUUCGCUAUAAGACCGAACACGACUACUCAAAAUACUGAAAAUAUAUAAAAAAACCCAUCAUAUUAGUGUGUGAAUUUGUGUUGACUACUCAUUUAUUUUCAUGAAAGGAAGAUCAAAAUCAAAUCUAGUUUUGUUUUCCGUCAAUUUGCACCCAGGCAACCUCAAUACUUUCGUAAAAAGCUUUUGCCUUCUAUCAUACAUUAUUUUACAGUGUUUUUUCUGUCCUCUUUCUCUCUAUGCAAGAAUACAAAAAUAGAAGAAAAUUACUAAAGCAUUCAGUUA
Molecule: long non-coding RNA, 1599 nt
Organism: Anopheles merus
Lineage: Eukaryota; Metazoa; Arthropoda; Insecta; Diptera; Culicidae
Exons: 6
Source: RefSeq, a predicted model, not a curated record